AGUUUGAUCAUGGGCUCAGGGUGAACGCUGGCGGCAGGCCUAAUACAUGCAAGUCGAACGGCAGCACAGCAGAGCUUGCUCUGUGGGUGGCGAGUGGCGGACGGGUGAGGAAUACAUGGGAAUCUGCCCAGUCGUGGGGGAUAACGUAGGGAAACUUACGCUAAUACCGCAUGCGCCCUUCGGGGGAAAGCCGGGGACCUUCGGGCCUGGCGCGAUUGGAUGAGCCCAUGUCGGAUUAGCUAGUUGGCGGGGUAAUGGCCCACCAAGGCGACGGUCCGUAGCUGGUCUGAGAGGAUGAUCAGCCACACUGGAACUGAGACACGGUCCAGACUCCUACGGGAGGCAGCAGUAGGGAAUAUUGGACAAUGGGCGCAAGCCUGAUCCAGCCAUGCCGCGUGAGUGAAGAAGGCCCUCGGGUUGUAAAGCUCUUUUGUCCGGAAAGAAAAGCGCCGGGUUAAUACCCUAGUGUCCUGACGGUACCGGAAGAAUAAGCACCGGCUAACUUCGUG
RNAcentral lists this ribosomal RNA (509 nucleotides) under uncultured bacterium. RNAcentral describes it as "bacterial SSU rRNA". It matches the Rfam family "Bacterial small subunit ribosomal RNA", at positions 10 to 507 of the family's 1533-position model. The record is from RNAcentral.